AGGAACCAGAGCCCGGGCUGAGUCCCAAAAAAGCCGGAUCCGGACCGUGGCUCCAAAACGGUUGGAAGUGGAAGAUGGAGGAGCCAGAGGAGCCGGCAGAUGGUGGGCAGUCGCUACCUCCAGUUUACAUCUACAGUCCGGAGUAUGUCAGCUUGUGUGACUCCCUGGCCAAGGUCCCCAAACGGGCCAGUAUGGUACAUUCUCUGAUUGAAGCAUAUGCACUGCAUAAGCAAAUGAGGAUAGUGAAACCCAAAGUGGCCUCCAUGGAGGAGAUGGCUACAUUCCACACUGAUGCCUAUCUGCAGCAUCUCCAGAAAGUGAGCCAAGAAGGAGAUGAGGAUCAUCCGGACUCCAUAGAAUAUGGGCUAGGUUAUGACUGUCCAGCCACUGAAGGGAUAUUUGACUAUGCAUCAGCUGUAGGAGGGGCUACAAUGACAGCUGCCCACUAA
Molecule: non-coding RNA, 449 nt
Organism: Urocitellus parryii (Arctic ground squirrel)
Lineage: Eukaryota; Metazoa; Chordata; Mammalia; Rodentia; Sciuridae
Source: RefSeq, a predicted model, not a curated record